GGACCCAUAGUGUAGCGGUUAGCACACUGCCCUUUCACGGCAGUAACGGCGGGUUCGAUUCCCCCUGGGUCCACCA
This 76-nucleotide transfer RNA is filed under the name Gammaproteobacteria bacterium. Its description in RNAcentral is "tRNA-Glu". It matches the Rfam family "tRNA". Rfam says of the family: Transfer RNA (tRNA) molecules are approximately 80 nucleotides in length. Lineage: Bacteria; Pseudomonadati; Pseudomonadota; Gammaproteobacteria. The record is from RNAcentral.